AUGGGCACGUCGGGCUCCAAGGGGCUGGACGGCGUCGGGGGCCUCGGCGCGGCGGCGCUCGCCGGCGGCGGCGGCGGCGGAAUGGGCGGGGACGAGGGCGACGGCGCCGUGACGGGGUCGUGGCACGGCGGCGCGCAGCUCUACGUGUCGCUCAAGAUGGAGAACGCGCGGAUCAUCGGCGACCUCGUGCCGCACGUCUACGGCUCCGAGCCCAUCAUCGGCUCAUGGGAGCCCGCCCGCGCCCUCGCGAUGGAGAGGGAGCUGGCGUCCAUGUGGGAGCUCAGCUUCGUCGUGCCGCCGGACCAUGAAACACUGGACUUCAAAUUCUUGCUCAAGCCCAAGGAUGCGGAGACCCCUUGCAUCAUUGAGGAAGGGCCGACGCGGCUUCUCACCGGGGGCAUGCUCGAGGGUGAUGUGAGGCUUGCAAACUUCAGGCUUAACGGAGACGAUGAGUUGCUUGAGUUCAGGGUUUUCAACAAGGCCGACAUCGUGUCUCCGCUUGAUCUUGCCGCGAGCUGGAGGGUAUACAAGGAAAAUUUCCAGCCUUCCAAGGUCCGAGGAAUUCCUGAUAUCAGUAUAAAUGAAGCACCCACUCAUGCGACCGAGGAUGGAUCUGGUUCUAGUUUGGAGCUUGACUUAGAGCAUUAUGUUGUUCCAACGCCAACUGCACCACCAACUGAAUAUGCAGCAAACCUUGCUGCAACCCCAGCAUCCUUAGAUCAACCUGAAGGACUGUGGACAAAUGAUAUGCUUCUUAGUGAUGGCAUUCAGAGUCCAAGAAGUGCUGCUGCAGAUUUUAAAGAUGAUAGUUACCAUAAUAAGGAUACUGAGGCUUCAAUAGCAGAUUUUUCUAAUUCUAAGAAGUUACAAGUUUCUGGAAUGGUAGAGUCAAAAUCAGUUGGUACCUUAAUACAACUGCAAAAGAAGGACAGGCCACAAGGGCUUUACAUUGACAGGGGUGUUGUCUCUCCUAAGCUUGGAAAAUCAUUUAGUGCAUGUUCCCUGGCAUCUGGCCUUAAUUUUGGAUCAACAAAGGCCAUGCCAGAAGCAGCAGGAGCUGUUGCAGCUGCAGCUGUAGCUGAUAGGUUGCACGGAUCAAAGGAGGACCGGAAACUGGCUAUUGUUCUGGUUGGCCUACCAGCUCGUGGGAAAACCUUCACCGCAGUUAAGCUUACAAGGUACCUUCGUUGGCUAGGUCAUGAAACAAAACAUUUCAACGUUGGAAAGUACCGCCGUCUGAAGCAUGGAGCGAAUCAGUCUGCAGAUUUUUUCCGUCCUGAUAACCAAGAGGGGAUUGAGGCACGUAAUGAGGUGGCUACUUUAGCAAUGGAAGACAUGAUAGACUGGAUGCACGGAGGAGGUCAGGUUGGUAUAUUUGAUGCAACAAACAGCACAAGGAAAAGAAGAUAUAUGCUAAUGAAGAUGGCUGAAGGGAACUGCAAGAUAAUAUUUCUGGAGACAAUAUGUAAUGAUCGAAACAUAAUCGAAAGGAAUGUACGCCUGAAAAUUCAGCAAAGCCCUGAUUAUGCUGACCAGCCGGAUUAUGAAGCUGGAUUGCAGGACUUCCUUGAACGUUUGACAAAUUAUGAAAAGGUCUACGAGCCAGUGCAGGAAGGCUCAUAUAUCAAAAUGAUUGAUAUGGUAAAAGGGGAGGGUGGCCAGUUACAGGUGAACAAUAUCAGUGGCUAUCUCCCUGGGCGUAUUGUCUUUUUCUUGGUGAAUUCUCAUCUUGCGCCUCGGCCUAUUUUGCUUACCAGGCAUGGUGAGAGUUUACACAAUGUUAGAGGAAGAGUUGGUGGUGACACGGUGCUAAGUGAAGACGGAGAGCUUUACUCAAAGAAACUAGCCAACUUUAUUGAAAAGCGCCUCAAAAAUGAGAAAACUGCAACUAUUUGGACUAGCACUCUACAGAGAACAAUUUUGACAGCAACUCCAAUUGUUGGAUUCCCAAAGAUACAAUGGCGUGCUCUUGAUGAGAUCAAUUCUGGUGUAUGUGAUGGGAUGACGUAUGAAGAGAUAAAGAAAAUUAUGCCUGAGGAAUAUGAGUCACGCAAGAAGGACAAGCUGCGUUAUCGGUACCCACGUGGGGAGUCUUACCUUGAUGUGAUUCAGAGGUUGGAGCCUGUUAUCAUCGAGCUCGAACGCCAGCGAGCACCAGUGGUCGUUAUAUCCCACCAGGCCGUAUUACGAGCGCUGUACUCGUAUUUUGCGGACAGGCCUUUGAGGGAAGUUCCAGACAUGGAGAUGCCACUCCAUACCAUAAUCGAGAUACAAAUGGGCGUCACCGGCGUCGAGGAGAAGAGGUACAAGCUCAUGGAUUGA
RNAcentral lists this ribosomal RNA (2322 nucleotides) under Triticum aestivum (bread wheat). RNAcentral's name for it is "partial small subunit ribosomal RNA". Lineage: Eukaryota; Viridiplantae; Streptophyta; Magnoliopsida; Poales; Poaceae. The record is from RNAcentral.